UGCAUUUUAGUAUAUUAAUUUCUCUGUUUU
RNAcentral lists this non-coding RNA (30 nucleotides) under Mus musculus (house mouse). The record is from RNAcentral. Lineage: Eukaryota; Metazoa; Chordata; Mammalia; Rodentia; Muridae.